Long non-coding RNA from Dermochelys coriacea (leatherback sea turtle), 6102 nucleotides. RefSeq lists it as uncharacterized. The record is from RefSeq and is a predicted model, not a curated record. NCBI's taxonomy places the organism in Eukaryota, Metazoa, Chordata, Testudines, Dermochelyidae. The transcript is spliced from 3 exons.
CAGUGGACAGGGGAACCAGAAGAGAAGUUUGAAUCUGGAUCUGAAAUUGCUCAGAGCUAGGGUUUUUGUUGAGGAGCUUCCACAACCUCCUUAGGCAGUCUGUUCCAUUGGCCUACAGGCCCCUCUACUCUUGCAGAGUCCAGCUGGGAGAAUGCCAGAAAUACUGUGAGGGUGUGUGCCUGCCUCUGGGAAGGCUUGAAAUGCACCUGGCACCAGACGCAGACACCAAGAAAGCCAGCAGACAGAUCCUGGAAGAAAGGCUUGGGUGUAUGCCUUGCUAAGAGAGACCUUGCACCUUAUGAAUAUUGAAAGGCUUUUGCCACAGAUUUCUGACCCUUUUGUGAAACAAUUUAACAGGCUGAAUGGGAAGCUGGAGAAAUCUGCAACAGAUGAUGUUGUAACCAGCUGAAAGGGGCAAGAGACAUUUCCAGUUCAGCUUUCCCUUGGAUUUGAACAAUUGCAAAAGGGUUUGUGACUCAAGGUGUACAUGAAUGGUGCUGGAUUGGUCCCAUUAGAGAGUGAAGUUCAUUGAAAAGAAACAGCAUUCUGCAGUUCCCUGCAUUGCCCUCAAUCUCCCUCUAGCAGGUGAGAGGGUAGCUCAAUCCCGCGUUCAUUCAGUACCUGGCCUCCCUAUUGAGACUACCUGCAAUACUGUUAAAUGUGGCAUUGGCUUUCCAAUUAAAAGUAUCCAUUAGGAAGUGGCCUGAGAUCACUAAGUCAUCUCACACAGGACACUGAACAGCAGUCAGAUGAGAAUUUUAGGUCAUGGGUAUUAAACAUUUUUCAUACUUGCUAGUAUUAUAAUCAAUUCCUCUGUUAAUCUGUAGCAGAAACAGCUUUGUUCUGCUCACACAUAGGAAUAUCUCUGUGAAGUCUGUGAAAACUGACUUGCACUUAGGACAAAGACAACUGUAGAGAAGGACGAGUGGAACUUUAGCACGGGGCCUUUCUGCAACUCUGACCUGGCAUAGACUAAACUUUUACAACAUCUGAACAUAGCUGGGUUCAUGUUUGCUGACACCAUGCUGAAUAUAAUGCAGUGAUCAGCGUAAACCAGGCAAAAUAAUGUGUUUGGUUUCCUGGCAGCUAACCAUGCCCAGGCCUUGGAUUGAGAGGCUCACAUCCUGAUCUCAGUCGCAAAAGUGUAGAAGUCAGCAGAGACAACACAUAACCGUUGAUGGGGGUGGGGAUCAAAAUUUAAAGCAACAGUUUUCAAACUUUUUGAGCUGAGACCCCCUUUGAGUUACAAUUUUUGGUUGCUUCCAGACAAAAAGAGGUGAGUCAAGGGGCAGAGGUGGUGCUCCCUCACCAAGCUCCACUGUGCGGUGCUGAAGCCUGAGCCUGCCUGGCAUUGCUGCUCACCCCCACCCCGAACAUUCCUCCAUGCCCCGUAGGGGGGUAUUCCCCACAGUUUGAAAACCUCUGAUUUAAAGGUUCUGGUGGUAUGCAGCAGGGUUCAGGGCAGGCCAUAUAAACCCUGACAGAAAACUCAUGUUGCCCCCCACCACUACCCUCUGGAAGUAAAUUUUCACCUAAAAGGAGCUAUUCUAGACUUAUACCAGUGUAAGUGAGAUCCAAGUCCAUGUCUUAUUCCUCUGUCACCCUAUUUCAUAUUCAAAUUGUUUUAUUUUUUUAAUUCCUAAAAAGUAGGUAGCAUAAUACAUAAAGCAUCCCCUCUAACUCCUUUGCCUACUUAAAUGACAGUACUGGAUUUGGGUCUGUCUGGUGUCAAAGGGCUAUAUGCUUCAGAAAAAGAAUAGGGGUUGAGAAAAAAAGAAGUGGAAAUAAUAGUAAACAUGAGCCAUUUACAUAGAUUCUCCAGGAAGAAAAAUGGGAAAAUGCCAAAAAAUAAACCCUCCCAUCUGACAAAGUUGACCCUGUCUGGAUUUGGCUUUUGCAAUCCUUACACUGCAACUGAUAAUGCUAGAAAAAUGUCCUUCACAAUAACAGCAGACAAUCCCUCUAGAUUUAAUGCAACAGCCAUCCACAGUGACAUGCACAAUUCAUUACAAACACAGGUACUAGUGUCCCUCUUGCACCUUCAUACAACUAUAGUGUCCAUAAAGAUGCAACACAUCAACAGUUUUAUAGCAAAGAUUUUUGCUUUUAACUAACAAUCAAUAUUAUUUUUAAUCAUUCUCUACUUUUUUACAUUGCAUUUAAAUUGGCUUUAUUUCAAGAUCAAACAAAAAUAUUCAGGAUCUCACACACACACACACACACACACACACACACACACACACACACUAGGGCUGUUAACUAUUACAAAAAAUUGUGAUUAAUCAUGAGAAAAAAUCACGAUUGCAGUUUUAAUCACAAUAGAAUACAAUUUAAAUAUUUUGGAUGUUUUCUACAUUUUAAAAUAUAUUGAUUUCAAUUACAACACAGAAUACAAAAUGUACAGUACUCACUUUAUAGUUUUUCUUACAAAUAUUUGCACUGUAAAAAAUUUUUUUCAGUUCACCUCACACAAGUACUAUAGUACAAUCUCUAUCAUUCUAUUCUAUAAAGUGCAACUUACAAAUGUAGAAUUAUGUUUUUCUGCCUAACUGCACUCAAAAAUAAAACAAUGUAAAACUUUGGAGCCUACAAGUCCAUUUAGUUCUACUGCUUGGUCAGCCAAUUGCUCAGACAAACAAAUUUGUGUACAUUUACGGGAGACAAUGCUGCCCGCUUCUUAUUUACAACAUCACCUGUAAGUGAGAAUAAACAUUCGUAUGGCACUUUUGUAGCCGGCAUUGCAAGAUAUUUACAUGCCAGAUAUGCUAAAUGUUCGUAUCCUUCAUGCUUUAACCAACAUUCCAGAGGACAUGCAUCCAUGCUGAUGACGGGUUCUGCUCGAUAACAAUCCAAAGCAAUGUGGACCAGCGCAUGUUCAUUUUCAUCAUCUGAGUUAUAUGCCACUAGCAGAAGGUUGAUUUUCUUUUUUGGUGGUUCGCAUUCUGGAGUUUCUGCAUCAGAGUGUUGCUCUUUUAAGACUUCUGAAAGCAUGCUCCACACUUCAUCCCUCUCAGAUUUUGGAAGGCACUUCAGCUUCUUAAAUCUUGGAUCAUGUGCUAUAGCUAUUUUUAGAAAUCUCACAUUGGUACCUUCUUUGCGUUUGUCAAAUAUGUAAUGAAAGUGUUCUUAAAAUGAACAUGUGCUGGGUCAUCAUCUUUCACAUGAAAUAUAUGGCAGAAUGCAGGUAAAACAGAGCAGGAGACAUACAAUCCUCCCCCAAGGAGUUUAGUCACACAAGCAUGUCCUCUGGAAGGGUGGCUGAAGCAUAAAGGGACAUACGAAUGUUUCGCAAAUCUGGCAUGUAAAUAUCUUGCAAUGCUGGCUACGCCUGUUCUCAUUUUCAGGUGACAUUGUAAACAAGAAAGGGGGCAGCAUUAUCUCCUGUAAAUGUAAACAAACUUGUAUGUCUGAGCAAUUGGUUGAAUAAAAAGUAGGACUUGGUGGAUUUGUAGGCUCUAAAGUUUUACAUUUUGUUUUUGAGUACAGUUACAUAACCAAAAAAAAAAAAUCUACAUUUUUAAGUUGCACUUUCAGGAUAAAGAAAUUGCACUACACUAUUUAUAUGUUGUGAACUGAAAAAUCUAUUUCUUUUGUUUCAUCUUUUUUACAGUGCAAAUAUUUGUAAGAAAAUAUAAAGUGAGCACUGUACACUCUGUAUUCUGAGUUGUAAUUAAAAUAUUUGAAAAUGUAGAAAAACAUCCAAAAAUAUUUAUAAUCAAUUUAAAUUGGUAUUCUAUUAAUGUUUAACAGUGUGAUUAAAACUGCAAUUAAUUGUGGUUAAAUUUUUUAGUCAAAUUAGUUUGUUUUGAGUGAAUUGCUUGAGUUACUGCAAUAUAAAUAAAUGGACAUUAAACAAUUCCUGAACUUUGUCUGUCUCAGUAUUUUUAAAGAUGACAUUGAUCAAAGGGACUGUGAACUCUAAUGGAAACUGAUCAGCAAAGCAAGGUGAUGUCACUAAACAGGGCAUCUCAUUGUGGAAUUCCAAGCUCUUCCUUUCAUCUGAUGGGCAGUCAAAUGAUCCAUAACCUUCUCCCUAAGCUCGAUAACAGCUAUUUCUAAACUGCUAGCAUUUCUUUGGAAAGAUGCAUGGUUGAAUGGAUUAAUUUUUAUGCAAAGCAAUCAGUUAUGUAUCUGCUUCAUAAUAUUCUAGCAUUACAGAUCUGGAGGGCAGAAGGCAGCUCUCCCAUAUUCCCUUUUGUACCCAACAUGUUACCAUUGCACACAGUCUGCUGCUGCAGUGGAGGGGUGGUGGUUUGUGAAGAAUGGCAGAAGUAGAGACUUUGGGAGACGAUAUUUUAGCCAUCACCAUAUAAUGCACGUUCCAAUCAUGUGCUGCUCUCAUCUGGUGUACUUGGGUCUUGUGAAGAGGCACAAAUGCACUCAGUGUGUUUUAGGACUUGUGUACACACUGGGGUCUUGUGCUGUAUGGCGGUAUGAUUUCUAAAGCAUACUAACACUGUUGAUUAUUAAUUAGUCCAUGUAGACCCUGCUGAUGCACUUUAAUGUGGCGCUAUUUGAAACAGUUCUGUCAAAGUGCAUGUGGGAACCUUUAGUGCACAUCCACGGAGUCUACAUGGACCAAUUAAUGUGCAACCAUUAGUGCACUUUAGAAAUCACACGCCUGUAGAGCAUGUUACCUCACCAUGUAGACAAGCCCUUAGACUAUAAAUCCUCUAGGACCAGAAAUGCCUCUUUUCUGUGUUUGAACAGCACCUAGUACAAUAGGCCCCCAAUCCUGAGCCUUUGGGUGCUCCAGCCAGGACAGAUAUUUACUAUUACUGUAAGAACUCUAGACAUGAAGCAUUCAGAUACUGUGGUGAUGACGGCUAUAUAUAAACCAGGAGAGAACAGACUGCUAACUGAAUUGAAAGCAAAACAAUUCCUAUUUUCAGCUGAUGCUGGAACCUCUGUGGGGAAAGUUCACUUUGAUAGGACAUGCAGCUAAAUAUUUGUAGUCUCUUUAAAAUCAUAUUCAUUACCUUCUCCUUUGCUAGUGCUGAUGCUUUCUUUAAUGGCUUUGUGUAUCUGGCUGCAAGUGGAACAGAAUAGAAAGAUUUUGGACAGAGAGGACGAAGUGGUGGGUAGAACUGUCUUGUUGCUAUGGGGGAAUCACUCAGAAUGAUUUGUCAGACAAUGGACCACGGCAUCAGGAUGUCGGUGGGGUGUGAGUGUGAGAGAGAGACUCACACUGUCUCUGUAAAUAAGAAUCUGGAUAUAAAACUAGAAUAGCUAGCAAGACAGAUCGCAAUGAAAUUUGAACUGUAUGGCAAUUCUGCUUCUGAGCAGCCCUGCUAGUCCUCAUUCAGCUUUGAGGGGAAUUAACUAUAUUAACAGUGAAGCAGCUAUUACAUUCACAACAGGAGCUGGACAGCGAUGUGAUGUAUAUGUUGUGAAGUCUUCACUUAUGUAAAUGCCACAUCUUUCUCUGUGGGGGCAGUUUGCUGAAAAAGCCAUCCAGAGAAUCUCCCCCAAUGGCAGAAAGUUGACAGUGGAUCCAAAAGGCGCUACUUUAGGAAGACAGAUGAAGAGAACACGCUUACUUCAUCGCUGUGGCCCAGCUGAGUUUAGUAUCGUUAUGUGUGUGUGUGGUUUGGUUUGUUUUUUUUUUUUUAAAAAAGCUAUAUAGAGAUAAAUCACUAAUUCAAAAAGGUUGCAUACUCCCCCACCCACUGGGGGAAAAAAGCCUAGUUCACAUCCACCAGCUUUAUGUACUGUUGUGUAGAGCUGUGUUGUUGCUGUCUGGUGAGAGUGCUGAUUUAAUGAAAUACCAAGCUUCCUUGGAGCCACACAUCCUAAUCCCAAGAACAAUGGCUACGCCUGGCCAGAUAGAUAAAUGAGUUCCAUGCAGGUGGAAUUCCAUAUCUGUGUGUCUUUUAAGCAAUACUUUAAAAUUCAAGGGCCUACCUGCUCUACCUAGACACACAAAAUCCUAUGGCACUUCUUCCAGUUCUCCAUUCGUUACUAGUGGGCUGCAUACCAGUUUUCCACCCCAUUGCUGCCCUCCAGAUCAAGAGUCAUAACAAUCCAUAGUGUGCUAAGUUUUCAAAACACUGUAUAAAAAAUCCUCGCUUGUCUCCUAUGGGGCAGGAAAGUUUACAGAUG